UGGGGAAUAUUGGACAAUGGGGGCAACCCUGAUCCAGCAAUACCGCGUGUGUGAAGAAGGCCUUCGGGUUGUAAAGCACUUUAGGUUGGGAAGAAGGCAUGUAGUUUAAGAGAUGACAUGUUUGACGGUACCAACAAAAUAAGCACCGGCUAACUCUGUGCCAGCAGCCGCGGUAAUACAGAGGGUGCAAGCGUUAAUCGGAAUUACUGGGCGUAAAGGGCGCGUAGGUGGUUUGUUAAGUGAGAUGUGAAAUCCCUGGGCUUAACCUAGGAACUGCAUCUUAAACUGGCGAACUGGAGUACUGUAGAGGGUAGUGGAAUUUCCGGUGUAGCGGUGAAAUGCGUAGAUAUCGGAAGGAACACCAGUGGCGAAGGCGGCCUCCUGGACCGAUACUGACGCUGAGACACGAAAGCGUGGGGAGCAAACAGG
This 429-nucleotide ribosomal RNA is filed under the name uncultured bacterium. RNAcentral's name for it is "bacterial SSU rRNA". It matches the Rfam family "Bacterial small subunit ribosomal RNA", at positions 355 to 776 of the family's 1533-position model. The record is from RNAcentral.